GAUGAACGCUCGCUACAGGCUUAACACAUGCAAGUCGAGGGGAAACGACAUCGAAAGCUUGCUUUUGAUGGGCGUCGACCGGCGCACGGGUGAGUAACGCGUAUCCAACCUGCCCAUCACUUGGGAAUAACCUUGCGAAAGUAAGACUAAUACCCAAUGAUAUCCCACGAAGGCAUCGGAAUGGGAUUAAAGAUUUAUCGGUGAUGGAUGGGGAUGCGUCUGAUUAGCUUGUUGGCGGGGUAACGGCCCACCAAGGCAACGAUCAGUAGGGGUUCUGAGAGGAAGGUCCCCCACAUUGGAACUGAGACACGGUCCAAACUCCUACGGGAGGCAGCAGUGAGGAAUAUUGGUCAAUGGGCGAGAGCCUGAACCAGCCAAGUAGCGUGCAGGAUGACGGCCCUAUGGGUUGUAAACUGCUUUUAUAAGGGAAUAAAGUGGGUCUCGUGAGACUUUUUGCAUGUACCUUAUGAAUAAGGACCGGCUAAUUCCGUG
This 492-nucleotide ribosomal RNA is filed under the name uncultured bacterium. Its description in RNAcentral is "partial 16S ribosomal RNA". It matches the Rfam family "Bacterial small subunit ribosomal RNA", at positions 28 to 507 of the family's 1533-position model. The record is from RNAcentral.